Molecule: long non-coding RNA, 243 nt
Filed under: Olea europaea (common olive)
Lineage: Eukaryota; Viridiplantae; Streptophyta; Magnoliopsida; Lamiales; Oleaceae
Description: long non-coding RNA (OEUR_LNC007607)
Source: RNAcentral
CCAAUUUCUCAAUUCAAUUUAUGCAUCAGAUAUUCAUUCUUGUGUAGUUGGUUUUUUCAUCUUUUUGGGUCAAUUAUAGAAAGAUAAAGGCAAUACCUUUUCUUACCCAUUUAAGAGUAUGUACUGCUAUUUACAUUUUCUAUCAAAAAUAUCGGAGCCAGUUUUAUACUAAAACAAUUGUGCUACAAAAACAGGGAUUCCAGGCAAUAAGUGUCAACAUCUAAAUUGGAAGAUUGAACAAGG